This is a non-coding RNA of Bactrocera oleae (olive fruit fly), 5705 nucleotides long. The record is from RefSeq and is a predicted model, not a curated record. NCBI's taxonomy places the organism in Eukaryota, Metazoa, Arthropoda, Insecta, Diptera, Tephritidae.
AAUAUUAGUCAAUCCACAAAGAAAUCUCAAACGAGUAUACCAUUGACUUUGCGAGAGUAUAAAAUGUUCGGUUACAUCCGAACUUAGCCCUUCCUUACUUGUUCUCAAUUAAAUCCUACGCCCAAUGUAUUAAAGAAGCAAAAAGUUCUCUUUUUUUAAAAAAUAAUUUUCGGCCAAAACUCCUGGAUUUUGUUUAAGUGCUCCUUCGCGAAAACCUUAUGCAUUUACCUAUUGCUACCGAUAAGUAUGAGUUCUUGUGUACGACUUGACCAUAGAACCCUGUUUUUUUGUUUGUUUUAAUUUUGCGAUUGGUGUCAGUGCAGAGAGAUUUCUUAAAAUAUUUCCUAACAUUUUGAUCGAUUUGGAUACAGUAAAUCGAAAGUUUUAUUUUUGGCCGCUUUGGACGCGAUGAGAUACAAAAACGCCGGACGGAAAGAAUGUGUUCUUGCAACAAUUCGACCGAUUUCAGAGUAUAUUUUUCCUUUUUCGAAACAUCUUACCUUACCCCUUCCCGAGGGGCUCAUAUCUCUUUUAGGCGAGAUUCGAUAUUCUAAAUUUAAUAAAGUGAAUAGAACAAAACUCUUUAAAAUUGCUACUUUUACGAAAACAAGUAACACUAUAACUUUCUUACAUUUAGUUAUUACGUAAGUAAUUCCCAUUGAAGUACUUGUGCGCAGGCUUUUUCUUCGCUGCCAAAUUAUUAUUUUCUAUAAAUUUGUCUAUGAAACUAUGGUGUCAGAUUUUCAUUGCCUCAAAUGCUAUGGGAUUAUGCAAUAGACUAGUGAUAAAGCACUUAAUACGAUUAUGGUCUAAAAUAGUACAAAGAAGUUAUUUUUUAACAAAAGGAUAUAGAAGAACUUCCUUUAUCCGUACAUACCCAGCCUACAUUUCUAUUAUAUACUUUUCAUAUAUUAACACAUUCGUAAAUGGUUUCUACAUAUUUAUUUAGUAAUUAUUAGGAGACAUGGGAGAGAAACGAAAACGCGACAGAUUCGGAGUAAUGUUAAAGUUAAUUCUCUCAUUAUUCUCUCUAAAUUGCCAAAGUUUACAUGCUUACGCAGUAGACUUGACGGACACAGUAUCCCAACGAGCGAAUAUUUUAUUAUUGUCGGAAACAUAGAUAAACGAUAAAGAAGGUGCUGAUGUGCCGAGCUUCGAUUGUGUCGUCCAUUUCAAACGUCCCAAUGUAACAGCUGUUGGGGUAGCUAUCUACCAUAACUCCACAGACAGAAUAAAUAUUGUCGCUCCACAUAUGGAUAUGAAUUUAGAACAAAUUAAUUGGUUAUCUGUGAAUGCUGCUGCAGUUGGAGAGAUAUUUGUGCGGCCGAAUGUGCCCUAUAGUGCAGCAGAAUUAGGAGAAGAUUUGCACACUAUGCCAAUGAUUUUAAGCGGUGAUUUUAAUCUCAAUUUUGCCUUGGAAGAAGCUCAACCACUUGUACAAUUUUUGGAAAGUAAAUUUAAAUUAAAAAUUUAUAAUAAUCCCAAAAACUCAACAAACAGAUCAGACACACGACAAUAGAUGCAAUUUUCUUAAGAUAUUUAAAUAAUUUACUAUCACGAGUUUUCUUUUCAUAUUUUUCAUACCACAAAUCAAUUAUAUUUUUUCUUGAACAUGAAAGUAUGGAAGUGAAUGAAUAUAUUUUUUUUACUAAUGGAGGCGAAACAUCAACUAUCAUUUUGCAAUAACCUAACACCCUUGAAAAUUCCAAAUUAAUGAAUAGUGACUUCUGCUAUCGGGGAAAUAUUUUUAUCUCAUAAAACUCGCUGGCUAGUUUCAUUUUUUCAUUUCAAGUGCCCAUUGAGAUCCAUGAUGUUUUACUUCUAUCGCCUAGCUUUCUAGGCUGUUUGGUUUUUACUUUAACUUAUUUUUAUUCGUUUGCAAAAUUUGUAAAUAUGGUAAAGUUUAUUAAUUUUUUUUGCAUGUAACUCUUUGUUAUUGUGUGAAUUAGUCGUAUUUAAGAAAAACUUUAGUUAUGAUUUAAAGCUAUUUGUGCACAAUUUAAUAUAUAAUAAAUGUAUAGAAAUUAUUUAGUGAAGUGUUGGUGGAUAUAAAAGGGAAAAAUAUGAAUGUAAAAUUCAUUAUAAACCGAAAAAUUAGAUACUUUAAAUUCUUGAAUUUUUUGGGAAAAUUUAGUACAUCGUAAAAAACAUCGCCGGCAGCUGUAUACUAAUAUUGUGACGAACACGGAUGCCAGAACACAAUAGAAUCGACGAUUAAUUGCCAGAAUCAACCAGGCAGCGAAAUUCAUAGUUGCCAGCAUGUUGUAGUGGCGAAGUUUGGUUAACGAUCUAAUAUAUGUUAAAGGGCUGCCGGAUUGUGCAGCAGACACAGUUUUAGUUAGAGUACUGCCGUGUGAAAGCAAUGAAGAUACAAGUAAGAAGUUUUAAGCUCGGAUUAUGAGUAAUAAAGGGUUAAGUUGUUGGAAUCAGAAAUUUUAUUCAACAAUCUAGAUCGAACGCAAGAGAGAGUUUGUGGUAGACGAUUUAUCGAGAAAUCCGUUACAAUUGCUAUUUGAAGUGGGAUUGUUAAAUAAAUUCCUAGAGAAAUAAUUGUUUAACGAACAGAUAAUUCUUCAACUGAAAAAGGAGCUGGACGUGGUUUGGCCACAACUGGAGUGGGGUUCGAAUUAAAGCCACAGUGACGAGGAGCAACAGAAGCAGAAAACAUGAAUUUAGAGGAUUAUGUCUUUUAGAGGAAUAUAUAACGAAUUUAGAGGAAAAUAUAACGAAAAAAGAAGAAAAGGAAGAGACUUAAUGUUUAUCUGGGGUUAUGGACCCGUUUUUGGCUGCCGUUUGGGGAGCGUUUGUCAACGCAGUUGUCGACCUAAAUGCAGCAGAUGUCAACUUAAAUAUCGACGCAGGUGAAUUCGGAAAUGGCAGAGCAUUUCAGAACAUUUUGAAACUCGUAAGUCAAUACAGGAAGAGCAAGAAGCACAGGUGUUCUCAAAAUUGAAGGAGCAGGAUAAAAUUAAGGCUAAAGUGGAAUGCCAGAAGUAUAUCCAACUCCUAAUCAAGAGGCUUAACCAAUAGCGGACGUAUUCGUCAACAAGUAUCAAUGGAUUUACGUUCUGUUCAAAAAAUAAAUUUAAAGACAGCUUUAUUGCAGGGAAUGUACCAGAAACUUGGUACCAGAAUAACACGUAUGAAUUUUGCAAGAAAUUUAUGGACAAAUAUCAAAAAGAUUGGGAUACUCUUAUAUCCUUGUUCCUGAUGGGCUAUCAGGCUGCUGUAUAUGAAACCACGUAGCAGACUUCAGAAAGUCUAAUUUGUGGCUUUGGCCACCGACUGAGUGAAUAUUCGAAUUAGUGCCAAUAACAGGAGAGCUAAGGAAGUCAAUAGCACUCUAGAAGACGAGAUGAGGGAUAUGCAUGCUAUGGUGAGACAGAGCACUAAAAUUAUGAGCGAUAAAAUAAAAUCAAAAUACAAAAUGAGUUCUGAGGGUUUUAUUGAAGGAGAUUGGCUAUUGUUAUAUAAUCCACAACGAAAGUAGGGGAUGUAUCCCAAAUUACAGUGUAGUUGGGAAUGACCAUACCAGGUUAUUAAACGACGUACAGCCCUUUGGAAGACCUAGGAAUAAAAAGAAGGUAGCUCAUCUAGAACGUCUUGCAGCGUUUGGUACUGCAAACAUGUCUCAUCAGGACGAUCAGACAUAGUCGGCUAGCAGUAUGACGAACACGGAUGCGAGAACAAAAUAUAAUCGACGAUAAAUUGCCAGAAUCAACCAGACAGCGAUUCACUUAUCAACCUAUAGGUAUUUGUGAUGUCUGUAUACCAUGUGCCAAUACAGCCAAAUAUCUUGGCAUUACGCUUCAUGCAAAAGUGUAAGCACAUGUUCACUUAGACCAAAAAUGUAUCAGUCGAUUUUUUUUUAGUACCACAAUCAAAGAUGUAACUUAUCUUGUCAUACACUUGGAUAUAACCCUCACGUGGGAAAAACAUAUAUUAAGUAAAAUAGGUCUUUCGACCCGGCCAUUAGGAGCCCCAUUGUGAUACCACCGGGACUAAGGUCCCUUCACUCUAGUGGCUCCUCUCUGAACCAUUGAAUGAAUGCCCUUGAUAAUUUUGCUGGUAGCUAUGUAUGUAUACUACAUAUCAAGCAAAAUAGGUAGGUAGGUGGGUAGAGUGGCUGUCUUUCGACACUCCUAGGCCUUUAGGAGGCCCAUUGUGAUAUCAACGGGACUAAGGACCCAUCGCUCUAUUGGCUACUCUGAACCACUGAACGAAUGCGCUUGAUACUUUUGCUGAUAGUGGAUGCGUCAUACACUCUAAGCACUGCGCCUUAAACGUUUAACACAACCUUUUUCGAAUCUCCAUUAGAAGUUCCACUUCAGAAACAAAUUCUGCUGCAUGACAACGUUCGGCCUCACGAAUAUAUUCCUCAUAUGUUGUACCGUCCGACUAUUAUUUGUUUCUUUUGAUGGCACAUGGUCUGGCUCAGAAGCAGUUCCACUCAUAAGACGACAUCGAAAAAUGGCUUGAUUUUUGGAUAACAUCGUAAGAUGAACAGUUUUACCGUAAUGGUAUUCGAGCUUUGAGAAAGAUAGUAACAAUUUUUGACUAGCGUCAAUUGUAACCUACCUACCUGCCUAGUUGCGCACCUAAUAUAAUUUCGCAUAUUUUAUGGCAUUGAACUAUAGUGUAUACAAUAUUAUAGGUUAAAUCAAUUUUGCUAAGAUAUCUUACAUAUUGCCCAAUAUAUACGUAUAAAGCCAAUUGGACCUUUGAAAAGUUUAUAUUAGGUAUAUUGCAGAUAUGGUAGUAUUGACUCGAUUUUAUCCAUUUGCCAUUGAUACAUAUUAUUAACAGAAAAAAGUGCUCUCUGAGUUGCAUUAUGGUACCUCGUAUACUAUCACCAAUAUAUAAGGAGUAAAGUCAACCGGAUGUUAGAAAAUCCUGAUAUUAGUUACAUAAAUGGGGCUAGCAUAACCAGCAUAUUGGCCGAUAAAUGCAGUAUAAAGUCAUCCGGAAGUCAAUCCAAGUUUUGUUCCCAAGAAAGCUUCCAGAUAUCCAGCAUUUUAUUCAUUGUCCUGAUCCAGAGAUGUAGGGACCGUUCCCACGACAGUCGGGUCUACGUAACCCGAACGGGCCCGGAUUUAUCCAGCUAAGGACUGUCAACUCGGCAGAAUUUUACCGCUACAACAACAACAACAGAGAUGUAGGGAUAACACGACUCCUUGGGGUGUACCCCUUCGGACAGAUCUGCACAUCUUUAAAGCUCCCAACGUUGAAAUAAUUGACCUGCCCAAAAGCAUCCGUUCAGUUAAAAUCCGGAAAGGCUCCGGGCCCAAAUCUUCAAGCGGGCUCAGUAUGGCCCUCGGCUGGAUGUUAUUGAAAGCACCUUCUAGUCUAGCUACGAGGGUGAAUUCUUUUAUCUUUACAGAUUUUUCAAUCUCUGUUACCACUGAGCUUAACGCCGUUUUUGUGGAUGUAACCUUAAAAUACGCAUGCUGCGAAACUGCCAUUUUUCCUGGGUUUAGUUUGCACCUUAUAUGUAUUUCUAUUAGCCUCACCAGCGUUUUUAAGAGAAACGAGGAAAAACUAAUAGGUCUAAAAUCCUUUGGAUUAGUGUGUGAGCUUUUGCCCGCAUUUAGUAUAUAUAUCACCUUGAUCCCCUCCCUAUGGAGGGAAUAUACUCAUACCCAAUAAAGUCAGCGUUCACCCGACACAUUAUUAGAAAUGAAGUAAAAACACAUUGUAAAUAAAUA